RNAcentral lists this ribosomal RNA (711 nucleotides) under Enterobacter sp. JA58-2. RNAcentral describes it as "bacterial SSU rRNA". It matches the Rfam family "Bacterial small subunit ribosomal RNA", at positions 76 to 781 of the family's 1533-position model. The record is from RNAcentral. Lineage: Bacteria; Pseudomonadati; Pseudomonadota; Gammaproteobacteria; Enterobacterales; Enterobacteriaceae.
GAGCUUGCUCUCGGGUGACGAGUGGCGGACGGGUGAGUAAUGUCUGGGAAACUGCCUGAUGGAGGGGGAUAACUACUGGAAACGGUAGCUAAUACCGCAUAACGUCGCAAGACCAAAGAGGGGGACCUUCGGGCCUCUUGCCAUCAGAUGUGCCCAGAUGGGAUUAGCUAGUAGGUGGGGUAACGGCUCACCUAGGCGACGAUCCCUAGCUGGUCUGAGAGGAUGACCAGCCACACUGGAACUGAGACACGGUCCAGACUCCUACGGGAGGCAGCAGUGGGGAAUAUUGCACAAUGGGCGCAAGCCUGAUGCAGCCAUGCCGCGUGUAUGAAGAAGGCCUUCGGGUUGUAAAGUACUUUCAGCGGGGAGGAAGGUGUUGUGGUUAAUAACCGCAGCAAUUGACGUUACCCGCAGAAGAAGCACCGGCUAACUCCGUGCCAGCAGCCGCGGUAAUACGGAGGGUGCAAGCGUUAAUCGGAAUUACUGGGCGUAAAGCGCACGCAGGCGGUCUGUCAAGUCGGAUGUGAAAUCCCCGGGCUCAACCUGGGAACUGCAUUCGAAACUGGCAGGCUAGAGUCUUGUAGAGGGGGGUAGAAUUCCAGGUGUAGCGGUGAAAUGCGUAGAGAUCUGGAGGAAUACCGGUGGCGAAGGCGGCCCCCUGGACAAAGACUGACGCUCAGGUGCGAAAGCGUGGGGAGCAAACAGGAUUAG